CCUACGGGAGGCUGCAGUGAGGAAUAUUGGUCAAUGGACGAGAGUCUGAACCAGCCAAGUAGCGUGAAGGAUGACUGCUCUAUGGGUUGUAAACUUCUUUUAUAUGGGAAUAAAACGUUCCACGUGUGGGAUUUUGUAUGUACCAUAUGAAUAAGGAUCGGCUAACUCCGUGCCAGCAGCCGCGGUAAUACGGAGGAUCCGAGCGUUAUCCGGAUUUAUUGGGUUUAAAGGGAGCGUAGGUGGAUUGUUAAGUCAGUUGUGAAAGUUUGCGGCUCAACCGUAAAAUUGCAGUUGAAACUGGCAGUCUUGAGGACAGUAGAGGUGGGCGGAAUUCGUGGUGUAGCGGUGAAAUGCUUAGAUAUCACGAAGAACUCCGAUUGCGAAGGCAGUUCACUGGACUGCAACUGACACUGAGGCUCGAAAGUGUGGGUAUCAAACAGGAUUAGAUACCCCGGUAGUC
Molecule: ribosomal RNA, 460 nt
Filed under: uncultured bacterium
Lineage: Bacteria
Description: partial 16S ribosomal RNA
Rfam family: Bacterial small subunit ribosomal RNA
Source: RNAcentral